UUAAAACUUAAAGUAAAUCAAAUUAAAACUUGAACCAAAGUUAAACUCGACUAAAACUGAAACGGCAAUUAAAUUUAAAACUCAGACUCCAAUUUAAAACUUGAAUUAGGGAUUCAAAUUUAAUUUAAGCUAACUUCCAAUCUAAAAUUAAAUUUAGACAAAAUUAAACCAAAAUCAUAAAAUCAAAUUAAAUUCAAUCUAAAUCUAAACGCAAAGUUAAAUUGUAACAUACCACAUCCCUCGUAAAUCGCGUCGAGUUCCGUCAACACGAGCGGAACGCGAAAUUGAAUGGGUUAAAGCGGACCCAAAGUGCAUUG
Molecule: long non-coding RNA, 317 nt
Filed under: Ananas comosus (pineapple)
Lineage: Eukaryota; Viridiplantae; Streptophyta; Magnoliopsida; Poales; Bromeliaceae
Description: long non-coding RNA (ACOM_LNC033318)
Source: RNAcentral